Molecule: ribosomal RNA, 429 nt
Filed under: Gemmatimonadota bacterium
Lineage: Bacteria; Pseudomonadati; Gemmatimonadota
Description: Gemmatimonadetes bacterium partial 16S ribosomal RNA
Rfam family: Bacterial small subunit ribosomal RNA
Source: RNAcentral
UAGGGAAUCUUCGGCAAUGGACGAAAGUCUGACCGAGCAACGCCGCGUGAGUGAAGAAGGUUUUCGGAUCGUAAAACUCUGUUGUUAGAGAAGAACAAGGACGUUAGUAACUGAACGUCCCCUGACGGUAUCUAACCAGAAAGCCACGGCUAACUACGUGCCAGCAGCCGCGGUAAUACGUAGGUGGCAAGCGUUGUCCGGAUUUAUUGGGCGUAAAGCGAGCGCAGGCGGUUUCUUAAGUCUGAUGUGAAAGCCCCCGGCUCAACCGGGGAGGGGCAUUGGAGACUGGGAGGCUUGAGUGCAGAAGAGGGGGGUGGAAUUCCAUGUGUGGCGGUGAAAUGCGUAGAUAUAUGGGGGAACACCAGUGGCGAAGGCGGCUCGCUGGUCUGUAACUGACGCUGAGGGUCGAAAGCGUGGGGAGCAAACAGG